RNAcentral lists this ribosomal RNA (440 nucleotides) under uncultured bacterium. RNAcentral's name for it is "partial 16S ribosomal RNA". It matches the Rfam family "Bacterial small subunit ribosomal RNA", at positions 338 to 795 of the family's 1533-position model. The record is from RNAcentral.
CCUACGGGAGGCAGCAGUGGGGAAUAUUGCACAAUGGGGGAAACCCUGAUGCAGCGACGCCGCGUGAGCGAUGCAGUAUUUCGGUAUGUAAAGCUCUAUCAGCAGGGAAGAAAAUGACGGUACCUGACUAAGAAGCCCCGGCUAACUACGUGCCAGCAGCCGCGGUAAAACGUAGGGGGCAAGCUUUAACCGGAUUUACUGGGUGGAAAGGGAGCGUAGACGGUCCUGCAAGCCAGAUGUGAAAGCCCGGGGCUCAACCCCGGGACUGCAUUUGGAACUGUAAGGCUAGAGUGUCGGAGAGGCAGGCGGAAUUCCUAGUGUAGCGGUGAAAUGCGUAGAUAUUAGGAGGAACACCAGUGGCGAAGGCGGCCUGCUGGACGAUGACUGACGUUGAGGCUCGAAAGCGUGGGGAGCAAACAGGAUUAGAUACCCCUGUAGUC